RNAcentral lists this ribosomal RNA (248 nucleotides) under uncultured bacterium. RNAcentral describes it as "partial 16S ribosomal RNA". It matches the Rfam family "Bacterial small subunit ribosomal RNA", at positions 15 to 254 of the family's 1533-position model. The record is from RNAcentral.
GAUCCUGGCUCAGGACGAACGCUGGCGGCUCGCCUAACACAUGCAAGUCGAACGGAGUUGUGUUGAAAGCUUGCUGGAUAUACAACUUAGUGGCGGACGGGUGAGUAACACGUGAGUAACCUGCCUCUCAGAGUGGAAUAACGUUUGGAAACGAACGCUAAUACCGCAUAACGUGAGAAGAGGGCAUCCUCUUUUUACCAAAGAUUUAUCGCUGAGAGAUGGGCUCGCGGCCGAUUAGGUAGUUGGUG